Small nucleolar RNA from Myripristis murdjan (pinecone soldierfish), 216 nucleotides. Ensembl annotates it as small nucleolar RNA U3. The record is from Ensembl. Lineage: Eukaryota; Metazoa; Chordata; Actinopteri; Holocentriformes; Holocentridae.
AAGACUAUACUUUCAGGGAUCAUUUCUAUAGUUUUUGACUAGAGAAAUGUUUGCUAAAGAAUUGGUCUCGCUAGCCACGAUGAAGAGUUGGUGAUACUCCUUCUUGAGCGCGAAGCGGGCAGAGAGAGAUGAUUUAGUUCAUGUGCUUUCUGCUUUUGAUGACCGUUCACUGUUUUCUCUGGAGACUUUGAGGGAAGGAGUAUGAUCAGAGUGGUA